GAUGAACGCUAGCGGCAGGCCUAAUACAUGCAAGUCGGACGGGAUUCAGGAGCUUGCUUCUGAUGAGAGUGGCGCACGGGUGCGUAACACGUAUGUAACCUACCUUUAUCAGGGGGAUAGCCUCUCGAAAGAGAGAUUAAGCCCGCAUAAAAUCACGGCACAGCAUUGUGUAAUGAUCAAAUAUUUAUAGGAUAAAGAUGGGCAUGCGGAACAUUAGCUAGAUGGCGGGGUAACGGCCCACCAUGGCGACGAUGUUUAGGGGAUCUGAGAGGAUGGCCCCCCACACUGGUACUGAGACACGGACCAGACUCCUACGGGAGGCAGCAGUAAGGAAUAUUGGUCAAUGGGCGGAAGCCUGAACCAGCCAUGCCGCGUGCAGGAAGACGGCCCUACGGGUUGUAAACUGCUUUUAGACGGGAAGAAACCCAGAUACGUGUAUCUGGCUGAAUGUACUGUAAGAAUAAGGAUCGGCUAACUCCGUG
RNAcentral lists this ribosomal RNA (482 nucleotides) under uncultured bacterium. RNAcentral's name for it is "partial 16S ribosomal RNA". It matches the Rfam family "Bacterial small subunit ribosomal RNA", at positions 28 to 507 of the family's 1533-position model. The record is from RNAcentral.